AUGGUAUUCCAUCCCAGAGCAAACCACAGAGGUUAUGAACAGGGGUGGACACUUGCAGCAGCAAAGAAGCGGCUGCUGUUUACAGUGUCAUACGGCACUUCCUGGUCUAGUGCUCUUCACAGGGACAAGACGAUGUUACAAAAAGGACAGAAUGACACAACUUCAAGCAAUGCUCAGUGGAAAGAGAAGUCGUUUUUGGUUUGGAGGCUCACGGUGACAGAUGCCACCACUGCCAAAAACCUAUAUGAAUCAUCAUCGCAUCACAAGAACACAAGAGGAAACAGCAAUAAAAUCGACAGAAGAUGA
Molecule: ribosomal RNA, 306 nt
Filed under: Triticum aestivum (bread wheat)
Lineage: Eukaryota; Viridiplantae; Streptophyta; Magnoliopsida; Poales; Poaceae
Description: partial small subunit ribosomal RNA
Source: RNAcentral